CGUGUAGGCGGUUUAAUAAGUCAGAUGUAAAAGCCCCCGGCUCAACCGGGGAUGGUCAUUUGAAACCGUUAGGCUUGAGUAUGAGAGAGGGUAGUGGAAUUCCCAGUGUAGCGGUGAAAUGCGUAGAUAUUGGGAAGAACACCAGUAGCGAAGGCGGCUACCUGGCUCGCAACUGACGCUAAGGCGCGAAAGCGUGGGGAGCAAACA
Molecule: ribosomal RNA, 207 nt
Filed under: uncultured bacterium
Lineage: Bacteria
Description: partial 16S ribosomal RNA
Rfam family: Bacterial small subunit ribosomal RNA
Source: RNAcentral